This 559-nucleotide long non-coding RNA is filed under the name Cricetulus griseus (Chinese hamster). RNAcentral's name for it is "lncRNA (ENSCGRG00015043121.1)". The record is from RNAcentral. Lineage: Eukaryota; Metazoa; Chordata; Mammalia; Rodentia; Cricetidae.
CUGUUUGUCUCCAACCUUCUCCAGUCUACCUGGAGGUUGCUGCAGUCAAGGGCACAGAAAAAUAUCAUGGCGUCCUCCACAUGCUCUGGGACCUUGGGAUUCCAAGCUGCUGACUCAGGCAGACACGUAGGCAUCUCUGCUCUCAACACCUUGGUGGAGGGAAACUGCUGGACUGCUACUCCAGAGACCCUGAAGAGCAAGAACGGAAAGCAGGGGCUCCUCACCUCUCAGAUGUCACACGGACCUGGAGUGCUGACUCUCCCUCUGGCCUCUCUGAGGCUCCCUGUAGAGGACUCAGGCAUCAGUACCCUAGGACUCCGGAUUAAGAGGUAGACAGAUCUUUGUGAGUCCAAGGCCACCCAGAUCUACACAAGAGUGAAUCAGCCUGAAAGAGAAUUAUAGCUCACACCUUUAAUCCCAGGACUCAUGAGAGGUAUAUAAGACAGGAGCAAGGACUCAGUAUCAGGCAUUCAUUCUCCAGCCACACUGAGGAAAGGCAGCAGUCUGAGGCUUGGUGAAGAGCUCGUGCAUGGAUCAGCCCUUUCAGCCUGAGAUAGAG